Molecule: ribosomal RNA, 496 nt
Filed under: uncultured bacterium
Lineage: Bacteria
Description: partial 16S ribosomal RNA
Rfam family: Bacterial small subunit ribosomal RNA
Source: RNAcentral
AUGAACGCUGGCUGCGUGCCUAAUACAUGCAAGUCGAGCGAACAGAUGAGGAGCUUGCUCCUCUGACGUUAGCGGCGGACGGGUGAGUAACACGUGGAUAACCUACCUAUAAGACUGGGAUAACUUCGGGAAACCGGAGCUAAUACCGGAUAAUAUAUUGAACCGCAUGGUUCAAUAGUGAAAGACGGUUUUGCUGUCACUUAUAGAUGGAUCCGCGCCGCAUUAGCUAGUUGGUAAGGUAACGGCUUACCAAGGCAACGAUGCGUAGCCGACCUGAGAGGGUGAUCGGCCACACUGGAACUGAGACACGGUCCAGACUCCUACGGGAGGCAGCAGUAGGGAAUCUUCCGCAAUGGGCGAAAGCCUGACGGAGCAACGCCGCGUGAGUGAUGAAGGUCUUCGGAUCGUAAAACUCUGUUAUUAGGGAAGAACAAAUGUGUAAGUAACUAUGCACGUCUUGACGGUACCUAAUCAGAAAGCCACGGCUAACUACGUG